Molecule: ribosomal RNA, 500 nt
Filed under: uncultured bacterium
Lineage: Bacteria
Description: bacterial SSU rRNA
Rfam family: Bacterial small subunit ribosomal RNA
Source: RNAcentral
AGAGUUUGAUCCUGGCUCAGAUUGAACGCUGCGGAAUGCUUUACACAUGCAAGUCGAACGGCAGCACGGGGCAACCUGGUGGCGAGUGGCGAACGGGUGAGUAAUACAUCGGAACGUGCCCAAUCGUGGGGAUAACGUAGCGAAAGUUACGCUAAUACCGCAUACGAUCUACGGAUGAAAGCGGGGGAUCGCAAGACCUCGCGCGAAUGGAGCGGCCGAUGUCAGAUUAGGUAGUUGGUGGGGUAAAGGCUCACCAAGCCAACGAUCUGUAGCUGGUCUGAGAGGACGACCAGCCACACUGGAACUGAGACACGGUCCAGACUCCUACGGGAGGCAGCAGUGGGGAAUUUUGGACAAUGGGCGCAAGCCUGAUCCAGCCAUUCCGCGUGCAGGAUGAAGGCCUUCGGGUUGUAAACUGCUUUUGUACGGAACGAAAAGGUCCUGGUUAAUACCUGGGGCUCAUGACGGUACCGUAAGAAUAAGCACCGGCUAACUACGUG